GAUUCUUCAAUGCUCAUAGUUGAUCGAUCUUGUAUGUAUUCUGCGAGACUCUUUCAUGUCAUCCAUCAUAUUCAACUAGAAAGUGUACAUGACAUUGGAUUCAUCAAUGCUCAUAGUUGAUCGAUCUUGUAAGUAUUCUGCGAGACUCUUUCAUGUCAUCCAUCAUAUUCAACUAGAAAGUGUACCUGACAUUAGAUUCUUCAAUGCUCAUAGUUGAUCGAUCUUGUAUGUAUUCUGCGAGACUCUUUCAUGUCAUCCAUCAUAUUCAACUAGAAAGUGUACAUGACAUUGGAUUCAUCAAUUGUCAUAGUUGAUCGAUCUUGUAAGUAUUCUGCGAGACUCUUUCAUGUCAUCCAUCAUAUUCAACUAGAAAGUGUACCUGACAUUAGAUUCUUCAAUGCUCAUAGUUGAUCGAUCUUGUAAGUAUUCUGUGAGACUCUUUCAUGUCAUCCAUCAUAUUCAACUAGAAAGUGUACAUGACAUUGGAUUCAUCAAUGCUCAUAGUUGAUCGAUCUUGUAAGUAUUUUGCGAGACUCUUUCAUGUCAUCCAUCAUAUUCAACUAGAAAGUGUACCUGACAUUAGAUUCUUCAAUGCUCAUAGUUGAUCGAUCUUGUAUGUAUUCUGCGAGACUCUUUCAUGUCAUCCAUCAUAUUCAACUCUCAUAGUUGAUCGAUCUUGUAAGUAUUCUGAGAGACUCUUUCAUGUCAUCCAUCAUAUUCAACUAGAAAGUGUACCAACCCAUUACAAAUCACA
RNAcentral lists this long non-coding RNA (754 nucleotides) under Musa acuminata (dwarf banana). RNAcentral's name for it is "long non-coding RNA (MACU_LNC006572)". The record is from RNAcentral. Lineage: Eukaryota; Viridiplantae; Streptophyta; Magnoliopsida; Zingiberales; Musaceae.